UACAAAGGUUGUUGUUACCCUUUGCAAAGCUUCUAAAGGCAACAGGUUAGACCUGUAUUUCAAGGAAGACAAGUUCAAGCCAAGCAUGGACAAGGAGAAGGACCCAAUGUCUGGAAUUAUGGACUUAAUGAAGAACAUGUAUGAGGAAGGCGACGAGGAUAUGAAGCGCACAA
This is a long non-coding RNA of Setaria italica (foxtail millet), 173 nucleotides long. RefSeq lists it as uncharacterized. The transcript is spliced from 3 exons. The record is from RefSeq and is a predicted model, not a curated record. NCBI's taxonomy places the organism in Eukaryota, Viridiplantae, Streptophyta, Magnoliopsida, Poales, Poaceae.